UACGAAGGGGGCUAGCGUUGCUCGGAAUCACUGGGCGUAAAGGGUGCGUAGGCGGGUCUUUUAAGUCAGGGGUGAAAUCCUGGAGCUCAACUCCAGAACUGCCUUUGAUACUGAAGAUCUUGAGUUCGGGAGAGGUGAGUGGAACUGCGAGUGUAGAGGUGAAAUUCGUAGAUAUUCGGAAGAACACCAGUGGCGAAGGCGGCUCACUGGCCCGUUACCGACGCUCAGGCGCGACAGCGUGGGGGAGCAAACAGG
This 255-nucleotide ribosomal RNA is filed under the name uncultured bacterium. RNAcentral's name for it is "partial 16S ribosomal RNA". It matches the Rfam family "Bacterial small subunit ribosomal RNA", at positions 524 to 776 of the family's 1533-position model. The record is from RNAcentral.